Molecule: ribosomal RNA, 1136 nt
Filed under: uncultured Bacteroides sp.
Lineage: Bacteria; Pseudomonadati; Bacteroidota; Bacteroidia; Bacteroidales; Bacteroidaceae
Description: partial 16S ribosomal RNA
Rfam family: Bacterial small subunit ribosomal RNA
Source: RNAcentral
AGUUUGAUCCUGGCUCASGAUGAACGCUAGCUACAGGCUUAACACAUGCAAGKCKAGGGGCAGCAUGGUCUUAGCUUGCUAAGGCCGAUGGCGACCGGCGCACGGSUGAGUAACGCGUAUCCAACCUGCCUUACACUCUUGGACAGCCUUCUGAAAGGGAGAUUAWUACAAKAUGUUAUCAUGAGUAAKCAUUUUCGCAUGAKUAAMGGUUUACCGGUGUAAGAUGGGGAUGCGUUCCAUUASAUAGUAGGCGGGGUAACGGCCCACCUAGUCUUCSAUGGAUAGGGGUUCUGASAGGAAGGUCCCCCACAUUGGAACUGAKACACGGYCCAAACUCCUACGGSAGGCAGCAGUGAGGAAUAUUGGUCRAUGGACGAGAGUCUGAACCAGCCAAKKAKCGWGAAGGAUGAAGGUUCUAUGGAUUGUAAACUUCUUUUAUACRGGAAUAAACSGAUCCACGUGUGGAUUUUUGCAUGUACCGUAUGAAUAAGGAUCGGCUAACUCCGUGCCAGCAGCCGCGGUAAUACGGAGGAUCCGAGCGUUAUCCGGAUUUAUUGGGUUUAAAGGGAGCGUAGAUGGGUUGUUAAGUCAGUUGUGAAAGUUUGCGGCUCAACCGUAAAAUUGCAAUUGAUACUGGCARUCUUGAGUACAGUUGAGGUAGGCGGAAUUCGUGGCGUAGCGGUGAAAUGCUUAGAUAUCACGAAGAACUCCGAUUGCGAAGGCAGCUUACURRCCUGUAACUGACAUUGAUGCUCGAAAGUGUGGGUAUCAAACAGGAUUAGAUACCCUGGUAGUCCACACGGCAAACGAUGAAUACUCGCUGUAGGCGAUAUACAGUCUGCGGCCAAGYGAAAGCAUUAAGUAUUCCACCUGGGGAGUACGCCGGCAACGGUGAAACUCAAAGGAAUUGACGGGGGCCCGCMCAAGCGGAGGAACAUGUGGUUUAAUUCGAYGAUACGCGAGGAACCUUACCCGGGCYUAAAUUGCAACCGAAUAYGGCGGAAACKCCAUAGCUAGCAAUAGCGGUUGUGAAGGUGCUGCAUGGUUGUCGUCAGCUCGUGCCGUGAGGUGUCGGCUUAAGYGCCAUAMCGAGCGCAACCCUUGCCGAUAGUUACUARCAGGUCAUGYUGAGGACU